Molecule: long non-coding RNA, 296 nt
Filed under: Trifolium pratense (red clover)
Lineage: Eukaryota; Viridiplantae; Streptophyta; Magnoliopsida; Fabales; Fabaceae
Description: long non-coding RNA (TPRA_LNC010106)
Source: RNAcentral
GGCAGUUACUUAAGAAGCAAGGGAAGAUUUUUUGCCUAUAAAUAGGGUCUGUUUCAAGAGAAGAGAGAUAGAACUUUUUCACUGAUUCUACAUAGACUCACUCUCAUCAUGAGAAACCACCAUAUUUUCAUUCUUGUAAAGAGAAUCAAUUUCUUCUCUGACAUACUUGUAUCAGUUAUCAAUCUUGAAUAAUACAAACCCCUAUGUUCUGAUCGAAUUCUGACUUAUAAAACUCCCAGGGUUGUUGGGAUUGAACUGAGUGUAAUCACACCAUUUAGUCAAUAAUACAAACCCCC